This 2838-nucleotide long non-coding RNA is filed under the name Aquilegia coerulea. Its description in RNAcentral is "long non-coding RNA (ACOE_LNC000174)". Lineage: Eukaryota; Viridiplantae; Streptophyta; Magnoliopsida; Ranunculales; Ranunculaceae. The record is from RNAcentral.
GCACUUGAAGGAGUGACUUCAGGAUUGGCAUUACUAGAAGAGGCAUUUGAGAAGUUAAGCAAAGGGAAGGGAUUCUUUGGUGGAGAGACAAUUGGGUAUCUUGAUAUAGCACUUGGAUCCUGCUUAGGGUGGCUCAAAGUAACCGAAAAGCUCAGUGGCAUGUUGAUCAUGGAUGAGACUAAACUGCCCAAUAUUUAUGUUUGGGCUGAGAGGUUUUCUUCUGACCCUGCAGUGAAGGAGUUGAUGCCUGAGACUGAGAAGCUCUUGGAGUUUGCGAAGAUGUUGUUUGCCAAAAUGAGUGGUGGUGCUGCUCCUCCAAAGUGAUUUUGAUUGCUCAGGGAGAGUGUAUGUGUUCUUUGUGAUUGAGUGGUAGUCUUUCUUCACAUAAAUGUAAUUUUUUUUGCUUAAUCAAUUGCUUAAUUAAUUUUUUCCUGCAUAAUUGGGUAUGAUGGCGUCAUUCUAUACGUAUAAACUAACAUCACAAAUAAAUUCAAUGGCUAUCACCUUCCCAAAAGUCAACAUAUUAGUCAAAAUUAAGUUAACAAAUCAAACAUUUCACUAUUUCAGCGUGAAUCCUAUAUAUAUGUCCACCAUGCUCAUCUCAUUCACUUGAUCUCCAUUUCAGUUCCAACCAUCAAAACCAGAUAUUCAUCUGUGAUUCUCUUCAUCUGUGUGUAAUUUUACGUGUCAUGGCAGUAAAUGAUGUGAAAGUAUUGGGUUCAUGGUCAAGUCCCUAUGUGAUUCGAACGCGAAUAGCUCUUAAUCUCAAACAAGUUGAUUACCAGUUUCUUCAAGAAACUUUUGGAGCUGGUAAAAGUGAACUUUUGCUGAAAAGCAAUCCAGUUUAUAAGAAAAUCCCAGUUUUGAUUCAUAAUGAUAAACCUGUUUGUGAGUCUCUUAUCAUCGUUCAAUAUGUUGACGAGGUUUUUAAUGGUCCUUCUAUUUCUAUACUUCCUUCUGAUCCCUAUGAUCGUGCUCUUGCUCGCUUCUGGGCUGCCUAUGUAGAUGAUAAGGUAAUAAUGUUUUCAUACUGAAUAUUUUCCUUAUAUGAUUCGUGAUCUUAAAAUCUAUUUUUAUUGUUGUUUGGUUGCAUUUGCAGUGGUUUGCCUCAAUGCAAGGGAUUGCGGCAGGGAAAACUGACCAAGAGAAGAAAACAGCAAUGGAAGGAGUGAGUACAGGACUGGAAUUAUUGGAAGAUGCAUUUCAGAAGUUGAGCAAAGGGAAGGGAUUCUUUGGUGGAGAGACUAUUGGGUACCUCGAUAUAGCAGUUGGAUCUUGCUUGGGGUGGCUCAGGGUUGCUGAGAAGCUAAGUGGUACGACGUUUAUUGAUGAGACCAAGAUGUCAGGUCUUUAUGGAUGGGCUGAGAGGUUUUGUUCUGCUCCUGCAGUUAAGGAUUUGAUUCCUGAAACUGAGAAGCUCUUGGAGUUCAUUAAAAUGGUAUUUGCCAAAAUGAAUAGUGCUGCUCUGAAGUGAUUUUCGUCUUGUAUAUCUUGUCACUAUAAAUAAAAAUGCAGACUGUUUAGCUCAUUCCUGCAUUUACUGGCUAUUCCGCUACUCCUAUCAAUAUAGCUACUAGAGAAUUGCAUAACAAAGUUCUAAUUCUAACGUAUCAUUUGAAGGAAUAUCUAGUUGAAUCAUUCUAUAGAAAAAAAAUUCCAUAAUCAAACACUUUCCCAUGUCACUGUGUAAAUGCAAAUCUCAAAUUUGACAGACUCCCUCAGACACAGAAUAAGCUGUCAUGGUCCUGUUGCUUGACCAGGCUACUAGCAUAUGUAUCUAGCAGCAACCACUGGAUGAAAUGAUUGCAAUGCCGAUGAUAUUUGAGCACAAUGACAUCUGCACUAUAUACAUAGUAUACAUCUAACAAUGAAACCCAAAUCUUAUGAGCACAAUGACAGCUGCACUAUAUAUUGCUCUUAACCUCAAAAAGGUUCUAUGUUUACUGGGACUAAUCCCAGGGGAGGCUAGCACAAUGUCGAUGAAGCCUUCACAGGUCCAUCAUCGUUGACAACGAUGUGAGGACUAAUGAAUUCAACACAACUUAAUUUUAACAUGUAUAUGCUCAUAUCUAGUAUGAAUGGUAUAUAAUUUUGUAUGAUAUAUUGUAAUUGUGCAGUGGUUUGGUUCAUUGCAUGGGGUUGCGGCAAGGAAGACUGACAAAGAAAAGGCGACAGCAGUUGAAAGAGUGAUUUCGGGAUUGGCGCUACUAGAAGAGGCCUUUGAGAAGUUGAGCAAAGGAAAGAGGUUCUUUGGUGGAGAGACAAUUGGGUACCUUGAUAUAGCACUUGGAUCCUGCUACCCUAUGCUGUGAUGUGGGUUUUGUGGAAGACGCAUAAUGGACAUAUUUUCAGGUCAAGGAUGGUGUCGUUGGAGCGUAUGGUGGUGGAAGUCAAGGCCACGCUUUGGUAUUGGGUUGGGUGCUGGCCAGGACGGCGUUUCUAUGUCUUUCAAGAUCUGCUCUUGAACUGGUUCGAAUUGCUUAAUGGCUUGCUCGUUAAAAAUGGGUCAACUGAGAUGCAGUGAAAUAUAGCAUUGAGAUGUAUGUGGGGUUUUUCUGCUCCUGCUGGCUGUACCUGACGAUGCCUUUGGCAUGCUGAUCAGGGUGUAAUUCUUUGGUUUGUUACUUCUAAUAAAUUCCUACUUAUCAAAAAAAAAAAAAAAAAAAUAGCACUUGGAUCCUGCUUAGGGUGGCUUAGGAUGACUGAAAAGCUCAGUGGUGUGUCGUUGUUUAUUGAUGAGACUAAGUUACCUGGUAUUUAUGGGUGGGCUGAGAGGUUUUCUAGGGAUCCUGCAGUUAAGGAGUUGAUGCCUGAGACUGAGAAGCUCUUGGAGCUUGC